RNAcentral lists this long non-coding RNA (3299 nucleotides) under Olea europaea (common olive). RNAcentral's name for it is "long non-coding RNA (OEUR_LNC015652)". The record is from RNAcentral. Lineage: Eukaryota; Viridiplantae; Streptophyta; Magnoliopsida; Lamiales; Oleaceae.
AAAAACUACACCAUCGUCGAAGGAAAGUAAAACUCCUGACAAUGCACCCCAAAAUCCUUGUUAGUGCCUAUACCUAAAUCAACAUCCCCAAGAUCGACACCAAAUUUUGCUCAAUUUCAAGUUCAACCAGGUGUUUUUUUCCCUUUUUGAUUUUAUUUGUUUUAUGUUUAUUUCGAUGUGAUUAAAUGCAGUGUUUGUUAUCCCUAUGAAUGAGAUUUUAUGCUAGUUUAUUUAGUUAUAUUGGAAGUAUUUAAUAAUUUUUGAAGUAAAAUGAUAUAAUUUUGGGUCUUUUCGAUUCAAAAAAUGAAAGUAUAAAUGAAAAAUUGGUUUGAAAAAAAAUGAGAAAAAGCUAUUCUUCUAAGGUUUUAGUGGUUAGUGUCUCUAUUGGUAGUUUGUUUUUCAAAUGAAUUAAUCUGAUCGUGUUAAUAAAGCGUUUGUAUAACUUUUAUUUUCAAUUUAUAGAGGGUAAUCUUUGAUUGGCACCGGAAUCCAUAUUUUAGUUGCAACUCAUGCACAAGUGUGCUCCUAACAUGGAAUAAUUGUUGUUCUUGUUGGCGAUUAUUGGGACAUAUGCUUCAAGAUAAAGUAAUAUGGUUUGAAAGGACUGUUUGCAAUGAAAAUUCUUUAGAAUUUUAUAUACUUUUUUCGCGUACUUGUAGAUAAUGCAUUUUGAAAUUAUAAAUUUCAUCAUAUCGACGAAUGCAAAAAUAAUUUGUGCUUAGAAGGAUACACGGAUACUAAUUGGGGUCAAAUCCUAUAAGAGAACAAAUCAAAUUCGGGAUAUUUAUUCUUGCUUAAUAAUGAUGCCAUCUCUUGGAAUAGUAAGAAAUAGACAUGCGUUUCCUUGUCUACAAUGAAACAGAAUUUGUAGCAUAUGCUUCAAUUGCACAAGAAGCAUUUUUGGUUAAAGAGAUUCUUACAGCAUCUAAGAGUCUUUAACAGUGAUAUGGGACAUAUAUUAAUUUAUUGUGAUAGUUAGGUAGUUAUUGUAUACACAAAAGCUCCCAAGUAUUACAGCAAAAUCAUAUACAUUAAUACAAAAUAUAAUUUUGUAAAAGACAUUAUAGGUAAAAAGGAAGUGAGUUUGCAUUGUAUUUCUAUGCACCAAAAGAUAGUUGAUCCAUUUACAAAACCUAUUCCAAACGGUGUUUUUAUUACUCAUGUUAAAUCUCUAGAAUUGCGUAUAUGUACCAUGUAAACUUUUCAUAUAAGUCCAUUAAUGAACAAUGCUUUGAGUUCAUUUAUUAAAGGUAAUCUCUUGUUGUGAUUUUUUUUAAUUAUUGUUUAAUAUGCACACAUAAAAGUAUAUCAAACAGGUUGAAAUUGUUCACUCACACGAACAAUCACUUUAGACACUUUAGUGUGUGCUGUGAUGAGACAUGACGAUCAUGUUGUGUACAUGAUCCAGUCACCUUGACGAGUAUUAAGAUGAAAUUACAAGUUAUGGAAAUGGAUUUUGCUAUCUAUUAAAUCUGUCCCAAAGCCAGAUUGAGUUCUUAUUUAAGAUUGUGUAGAGAAAUAAAUAUAAGAAAAACUCAGGUUAGAUAUCGAGGAAUAUCUGAACUAUAAUCUGUAUAGUGUAUUUAAUAUGUAAGAAAAGACAUCAGCCCUAAGAAAUGGAGAAAACACCAAAACUUCUGUUUCAUACCGUGUGUAGUUUAACAACUAAUGAGAAAUGAAAGAAUUGAUCCCUAUUUAUUCAUUGAGCUAGUUUUCGAGGCACUUGUAACAUCAAUUUUAUACUCUUAUGACUUUUGAUUGUUUUUCAAAAUUUUAUUUUGGUGUUGCUACUUUAGCACGUUACCAAUAACGAUGUUUGAUUCAAUUUGACGGGAAAUGUCUAGAAAAGUAGCUAAUUUUGAAAUUAAGGGAUUCAAGUAGGAAACGAAAACUAUUUUAUCAAACACCUCAGCUUAUAUUCACCGGUCAGACAAUUGUGUUAACUAUUUGAAUUUUACGACACAAUUGUGAAUACAAAAUAUAUGAAAAAGUUGAGUAUGUUCUUUAGUUUAUUAAGGGGUUAGAAAUACUCGAACUAGUGUUACAAAAUAUGUCUGAGGUGUAACGAGAAAAUAUAUUUCUUCUUAUAGAGCUGCUAUAUAUCCCUAACAGGUGUACAAUGUUGCCUGCUCUUAAAUUAACUUGUUGAUCGUACGAUCCAUUUAGCUGUAUGAACUUGAAAAUAUUGGAAUAAAUAUAAUCGAUAUUAUAUUAGAAUCAAGUUAAGCCCAUCAUGUGCAAGUGAGAGAUAUUGAAAGAAAAUUGAUCGCACAUGUGAGCUGACUCGACCUGAAUUGCAUGAGAACAAAUGGAGUGAGAAGUUGAGUUAUGAAUUUGAAAAUUAACCUUCCCUCCACAAAUAACUCCCAUGCAACUUCCAUUACUACACAAUUAUGAAAAGAAAACCAAAAGGAUACAUGCAAAAUUCGGGUUUCUAAAUAGAGAGAAAAAUACAUGAGUGCGGUAGAAGACAAGCAAACAAAAGACAAGUGAUUCAACCUUGUUGUGAUGAUUUCAAGUAAGUUUUACAAUUUAGAAUUUCAUUAAAAGCAUACAAGCACAUUUUACAAAUGUCAUACAAGAUUUCGGCAAGAUUGGCGUUAUUUUCACGAUUUUACAUAUUCAUCACACGCUAAAUCCAUUACUAUUAAAAUAUUAAAAAUUUAAAAAUUUACUAUUUUCAUCUACGCCACAUUACAAUAUUGUCUUUAUUAAAUUCAUUCCUUAAACACUAUAAAUCCACACAAAUUUUAUAUAUUCAUCCCACUCUAAGCUCCUGUUUGGCCCCCAUUUUUGGUAAUGAAAAUGGGAGGAAUAGUGUUUUGUUGAAAAAAUGAGUGGUUGAAAAAGAAGGAAAAUUUUUCGAUUUACGUGUAAUAUUAUUUUAUGAAAAAUUGUGUGGUUGAAAAUAGAAGAGAGAAAAAUAAAAUGUAAUGGAAUGUAAUUUAAUGGGGGUCAAACAUGGGCUAAAUAUAUCUCUAAUACAAUUUGAAUUUUUUUUUUUUUGUUUUUUGUUUUUUUUNNNNNNNNNNNNNNNNNNNNNNNNNNNNNNNNNNNNNNNNNNNNNNNNNNNNNNNNNNNNNNNNNNNNNNNNNNNNNNNNNNNNNNNNNNNNUUUUCUUUUGGGUGAAACUCCACCGAUUUUAGUGCAGAUGAUGCAACCUGCGGUAAACCAGUGUGGAGGCCUCACUUGUGUUUGAUAAGUCAUGAUUCGUGGAGUGACUCUGACUUUUUCUUUGAUUAGUCAUAGAAGUGAAUAUAUUUUGUGAAUAACAUUUUCACUCAAUAUAUUGUAGUAAA